GCCUUCUGGUUAAUCUGCUUCAACUCUCUCCCUACUUCAGUCCAUCCUCCGUCAGUUAUCAAGCUGAUCUUCCUGAAGUCUGGGCAUCUCACCUCCUCUUCAAUAAACUCCAGUGUUUCCCCCUUUUGCCUUCAGAACCAAAUAUAAAAUCCUCUGUCUGGCUUUUAAAACCCUUCAUAAACUGGACCCUUCCUACUUUUCAGACUUAUUAAAUUUUACUUCCUUCCAUGAACGCUGGGAUCCGGAGACUCUGGCUUUCCUGUCCUUCCUCGGAUACCUCCUCUGGAACCAGCAUUUUCCCUGGCUGUCUUCCAUGUCUGAAACGCUCUCCCUUCUUAGCUUUGCCACCCAGCUCCCCCGCCUUCCUUCCAGCUUCUCCUACAAUUCCACCUGUUGCAAGAAGGCUUUCCCUGUCCCCCCGCUGGGAUUAUUGCCAAUCUGGCUUAUAUCUUGCUUGUACAUAACCGUUCUGUUGUCUCCCCUUCUCAUGAACUGUUUUGAAGGCAGGGACUGUUUUUGCCUUUCUCGGUAUUCUAGAAUUUAGCGCAGUGUCCGACCCAGUAGUAAAUGCUCCUUGGCUGAGAGUUCUAGGACUCUGGGUAAAGAGAAAGCUUCACAAACGGGCUGACACGUCGGUAUGGAGUCUUUACAGUUUACAACCUUCUUUAUCUAGUGGGCCGUGGAUUCUUAGGCGACAGGCGGGGCCGUGUGCGUUACCCCUACUUUAUAUAGGAGAAAACACGCAGAGGGAAACGGACUUGUGAUUAGUAAGGAGUUGAUGGAAAAUCUCCCGAGUUUCCCUCGCCUUUCCUCAGGAAGCUUACACUCUAGGCAGGAAUCUGAGCAAGCCGCGGGAGAGCCCUUACAGAAUUAAACGCUAGACUUGGGAGAACGCAGCAUCCGUGGUCAGUCUCGGAGGAGAUCCGGACUGGAUUGGCACCUUAACGGGCAGCCUCAUCUUCUGAACUCUGACCGGGGGUACGUGCAAGGCACUCGCGGGAACUGCAUCCACCCCCGCCCACUCUCCCGGGGUUGAGACUGAGAAACAAGAAGCGAAGGGUUAAACAAGGUUCUUUCCUUCUGCAAGAGAAAAUGAGUUCCCAGGGAGGCGAGGCGCUCGGGAAUGGGAGGAGCCCCAGCUUCGGCCGCACCUCCCAGAGGACGGCUUCUGGAACAACCUACAACUCCCCACCCGGGAAGGAGGGUCAUCUUCCGCAUGCUCUUCUCGGGUCCUCCAGACCCGACUUCUGCCCACGCGCAGAGUAUUGUGGGAGUUGUAGUCCGGUGCCCUCUCUUUCCCUCUCCAUUUCCCUGCCCUGGGAGGCUAAGGCUUUAGCAAGCUGUAGGGGAGGAGCCCAGGGAAGCAGCGUUUGCAGGAUAGGCUGUAUUAGGGGGAGGACCAAAGUUUGUUUGUUUGCUUUUUUUUGGAGGGGGCAGGGAGGGCGGUAGUUUAAAAAAAAAAAAAUAUCUUUGAAUUAACCCUUCCCGAGCCCAGGAUGACCCAAGCGUUUGGUAGAUGAUAGAUAUUCUCUCAGGGAUCCUUUAAGGGGUGUGGUUUAGCUGCACGUGGUCCUGCUCUGGGACUCUUCUACCCUAAAGAGGUCUCCUGAGCAGAAGGGGGAUUUUUCCUAGGGGGCCGGGGCCAAACCCCAGGCUUUUGGUUCCGUAGACUCGGUCUGGGGGUUUGGUGAAUUUGUCCGAUUGAAGAUGUAAAUGCAAGACUUUCCAGGAGAGAAUUUUCUGCGGAAGAGCAGAAAUGCUCAUAGAAUCACAGAGUCUUUGAGGCAGGAGGUUAAUUCUUAGUUUAAAGCAUCAUGGGUUUAGAGCUUUCAGGAAGGGACGUAGAAAGAGUGAAUCCCCACCUCCCAAUUUUACUGAUGAGGAAACUGAGGGCGAGGAGGUGAAGUGCCUUGGUGUUCAUAUUCAAAUUGCUUGUGAGAAGCAGGUCUGGGGCCCUGCAAUCCAGUGAAGGCUGUAAUGACAAUGGGGAAGUGCCCUCUUGUAGACCCAGGAGGAAAUCCCCUUCAGAGCUCAGUUCCUUACAUUUGUAUAUUCCCAGGAAUAGUAUGAGUCCAAUUAUUACACAAUUCAUGCAUAUAUUAUACUGCUGAGUCGAACCACCCCAAGGCAUGAAUCUCUUUCACAAUCCUUCUCAGGUUGGGAUCAUUCAGCCUUAGUUCAAACACCUCUAUUGACAGGAGACUCACCAUCUCAUUCCAUUUCCAGACUUCCCAGAUGAAACAAAGAGACCUGACUUGGCCCCAUUUAUAAGAUAUGGGUGCCGAACAGCUGUGGAGCUGAGGGCAGCCUAGGGAAGAAAGGAAGUGUUAAAAUUUCUUUUUCUAAUGAGCACUAUAGUGUAUAAAGGCACUUUUUAAACUCAUCCCUUCCUGAGUGAAUAUUUCUACACCCAGUGACUGAAAAAUUAAGAGAGAAGUAUAUUUUAAUCUCCUUAGUCACUGUAGUGAUCGUGAGACUGAGAAAUAGGCAAGAUUUUUUUUUUUUUUUUGCACUUUUUAGUUGUGGUAGAAACAGGGAGAUUCAGACCAGAUGUUAGAGGUCUGGAGGCACAGGGGAGAUUAGCCAGAUGUGGCACUGGAUUGUGAGCCCUGGGGGAAGACCAACCUUCAAGAUCCUAAAUUCUCAUUUUCCUGCUCUGGAAAUUUUGUUGUCUCUUUUUCCUCCUGUAAAGUUUAAGGUUGGGAUUAUUACCAUUAUUAUUGUCAUGAAGUUUGCCUUCUAAUUCCAAGGGAAGCUCCCUCUAUUCUAAUUACCAAUAAAAGGAGAAAUAUUUAAUGUA
Long non-coding RNA from Antechinus flavipes (yellow-footed antechinus), 2800 nucleotides. RefSeq lists it as uncharacterized. The transcript is spliced from 2 exons. The record is from RefSeq and is a predicted model, not a curated record. NCBI's taxonomy places the organism in Eukaryota, Metazoa, Chordata, Mammalia, Dasyuromorphia, Dasyuridae.